AGAGGUAGAGCUUGACGUGUUGGAGACGCGGCUACUCGUGGAUGCUCCAGAGAGGAUGAAGUCACCAAUACGUUGCCAGCUCCAUCACGUU
This 91-nucleotide microRNA precursor is filed under the name Echinococcus granulosus. Its description in RNAcentral is "microRNA egr-mir-10243 precursor". The record is from miRBase by way of RNAcentral. Lineage: Eukaryota; Metazoa; Platyhelminthes; Cestoda; Cyclophyllidea; Taeniidae.